GCUCCGGCUCCGCCGUGGGGCGCCCGCUCCCCGCCCUCCGGACGCCGCGCCCCGGGCCGCAGCCAUGAGCGAGAUGUCCAGCUUCCUGCACAUCGGGGACAUCGUCUCCCUGUACGCCGAGGGCUCGGUCAACGGCUUUAUCAGCACUUUGGGGCUGGUGGAUGACCGCUGUGUGGUGGAGCCUGCAGCUGGGGACCUGGACAACCCUCCGAAGAAGUUCCGAGACUGCCUCUUCAAGGUGUGCCCCAUGAACCGCUACUCCGCCCAGAAGCAGUACUGGAAGGCCAAGCAGAGCAAGCAGGACAAAGAGAAGAUUGCAGAUGUGGUGCUGCUGCAGAAACUGCAGCACGCAGCGCAGAUGGAGCGGAAGCAGAACGACACGGAGAACAAGAAGGCUCACGGGGACGUGGUGAAGUACGGUGGCGUGAUCCAGCUCCUGCACAUGAAGAGCAACAAGUACCUGACGGUGAACAAGCGACUCCCUGCGCUGCUGGAGAAAAACGCCAUGCGGGUGACGCUGGAUGCCACGGGCAACGAGGGCUCCUGGCUCUUCAUCCAGCCCUUCUGGAAGCUGCGGAGCAACGGGGACAACGUGGUCGUGGGGGACAAGGUGAUCCUGAACCCUGUCAAUGCAGGGCAGCCUCUGCACGCCAGCAACUAUGAGCUCAGUGACAACGCAGGCUGCAAGGAGGUCAACUCUGUGAACUGCAACACCAGCUGGAAGAUCAACCUGUUCAUGCAGUUCCGCGACCACCUGGAGGAGGUGUUGAAGGGGGGCGACGUGGUGCGGCUGUUCCACGCGGAGCAGGAGAAGUUCCUGACGUGUGAUGAGUACAAGGGCAAGCUGCAGGUGUUCCUGCGCACCACGCUGCGCCAGUCGGCCACCUCGGCCACCAGCUCCAACGCCCUCUGGGAGGUGGAGGUGGUCCACCAUGACCCCUGCCGUGGAGGUGCUGGCCACUGGAACGGCCUGUACCGCUUCAAACACCUGGCCACGGGCAACUACCUGGCUGCAGAGGAAAACCCCAGCUACAAAGGUGACGCCCCAGACCCCAAGGCAGCAGGAGCGGGCCGAGCGGGUCGCAGGAACGCCGGGGAGAAGAUCAAGUACCGCCUGGUGGCCGUGCCCCACGGCAGUGACAUCGCCUCUCUGUUUGAGCUGGACCCCACCACCCUGCAGAAGACUGACUCCCUCGUGCCAAGGAACUCCUAUGUGCGGCUGCGGCACCUGUGCACCAACACGUGGAUCCAGAGCACCAACGUGCCCAUAGACGCAGACGAGGAGCGGCCCAUCCGCCUCAUGCUGGGCACCUGCCCCACCAAGGAGGACAAGGAGGCCUUUGCCAUCGUGUCCGUGCCCGUGUCCGAGAUCCGCGACCUGGACUUUGCCAAUGACGCCAGCUCCAUGCUGGCCAGCGCCGUGGAGAAACUCAACGAGGGCUUCAUCAGCCAGAACGACCGCAGGUUCGUCAUCCAGCUGCUGGAGGACCUGGUGUUCUUUGUUAGUGACGUCCCCAACAAUGGGCAGAACGUCCUGGAUAUCAUGGUUGCCAAGCCCAACCGCGAGAGGCAGAAGCUGAUGAGGGAACAGAACAUCCUCAAGCAGAUCUUCGGCAUCCUGAAGGCCCCUUUCCGAGACAAGGGCGGCGAGGGCCCCCUCGUGCGGCUGGAGGAGCUGUCGGACCAGAAGAACGCCCCCUACCAGCACAUGUUCCGCCUCUGCUACCGUGUGUUGAGGCACUCGCAGGACGACUACCGCAAGAACCAGGAGCACAUUGCCAAGCAGUUCGGGAUGAUGCAGUCGCAGAUUGGCUACGACAUCCUGGCCGAGGACACCAUCACUGCCUUGCUGCACAACAACCGCAAGCUGCUGGAGAAGCACAUCACCAAGACCGAGGUGGAGACCUUCGUGAGCCUCGUGCGCAAGAACCGGGAGCCCAGGUUCCUGGACUACCUCUCGGACCUGUGUGUGUCCAACCACAUCGCCAUCCCCGUCACCCAGGAGCUCAUCUGCAAGUGUGUACUGGACCCCAAGAACAGCGACAUCCUCAUCCAGACCGAGCUGCGGCCGGUGAAGGAGAUGGCCCAGUCCCACGAGUACCUGAGCAUCGAGUACUCAGAGGAGGAGGUGUGGCUCACGUGGACCGACAAGAACAACGAGCAUCAUGAGAAGAGCGUGCGGCAGCUGGCCCAGGAGGCUCGGGCAGGCAAUGCCCACGACGAGAACGUGCUGAGCUACUACAGGUACCAGUUGAAGCUCUUCGCCCGCAUGUGCCUGGACCGCCAGUACCUGGCCAUUGACGAGAUCUCCCAGCAGUUGGGCGUGGACCUCAUCUUCCUGUGCAUGGCGGAUGAGAUGCUGCCCUUCGACCUGCGCGCCUCCUUCUGCCACCUGAUGCUGCACGUGCACGUGGACCGCGACCCCCAGGAGCUGGUCACGCCUGUCAAGUUCGCCCGCCUCUGGACCGAGGUCCCCACGGCCAUCACCAUCAAGGACUAUGACUCCAACCUCAACGCCUCCCGAGACGACAAGAAGAACAAGUUCGCCAGCACCAUGGAGUUCGUGGAGGACUACCUCAACAACGUGGUCAGCGAGGCUGUGCCCUUCGCCAACGAGGAGAAGAACAUGCUCACCUAUGAGGUGGUCAGCCUGGCACACAACCUCAUCUAUUUCGGCUUCUACAGCUUCAGCGAGCUACUGCGCCUCACACGCACGCUGCUGGCCAUUAUCGACUGUGUGCAGGGCCCCUCGGCCAUGCUGCAGGGCUACGAGGACCCGGGCGGCAAGAACGUGCGGCGGUCCAUCCAGGGCGUGGGCCACAUGAUGACCACCAUGGUGCUGAGCCGCAAGCCAUCGGUCGCUGGUCCUGGUGUGCCCGAGCCACUGGACAGGAGCAAGUUCGAGGACAAAGAGCACAUCGUAGUGAUGGAGACCAAGCUUAAGGUCCUGGAUAUCCUGCAGUUCAUCCUUAACGUGCGGCUGGACUACCGCAUCUCCUACCUGCUGUCGGUCUUUAAGAAGGAGUUCGUGGAGGUGUUUCCCAUGCAGGACAGCGGGGCCGACGGCACAGCGCCUGCCUUUGACUCCGCCACUGCCAACCUGAACCUGGACCGCAUUGGGGAGCAGGCCGAAGCAAUGUUCGGAGUGGGGAAGACGAGCAGCAUGCUGGAGGUGGACGACGAGGGCGGCCGCAUGUUCCUGCGCGUGCUCGUCCACCUCGCCAUGCACAACUACGCGCCGCUGGUCUCGGGUGCCCUGCAGCUGCUCUUCAAGCACUUCAGCCAGCGCCAGGAGGCCAUGCACACCUUCAAGCAGGUGCAGCUGCUGAUCUCGGCCCAGGACGUGGAGAACUACAAGGUGAUCAAGUUGGAGCUGGACCGGCUGCGGACCAUGGUGGAGAAGUCAGAGCUGUGGGUGGAGAAGAAGGGCAGCAGCAAGGGCGAGGUGGGCGAGGCGGCCGAGGCAGGCGCCGCCAAGGACAGGAAGGAGCGGCCCACGGCCGAGGAGGCCCCGGGGGAGAAGGGCAGCGAGAACUACCAGAUCGUCAGAGGCAUCCUGGAGCGGCUGAACAAGAUGUGUGGGGUCGGGGAGCAGAUGCGGAAGAAGCAGCAGCGCCUUCUGAAGAACAUGGAUGCCCACAAGGUCAUGCUGGACCUGCUGCAGGUCCCCUAUGACAAGGGUGAUGCCAAGAUGCUGGAGAUCCUGCGGCUCACGCACCAGUUCCUGCAGAAGUUCUGUGCCGGGAACCCGGGCAACCAGGCCCUGCUGCACAAGCACCUGCACCUCUUCCUCACGCCGGGGCUGCUGGAGGCGGAGACCAUGCAGCACAUCUUCCUGAACAACUACCAGCUGUGCUCCGAGGUCGGCGAGCCCGUGCUGCAGCACUUCGUGCACCUGCUGGCCACGCACGGGCGCCACGUGCAGUACCUGGACUUCCUGCACACGGUCAUCAAGGCCGAGGGCAAGUACGUGAAGAAAUGCCAGGACAUGAUCAUGACGGAGCUGACCAACGCAGGGGAUGAUGUGGUCGUGUUCUACAAUGACAAGGCCUCGCUGGCCCACCUGCUGGACAUGAUGAAGACCGCUCGUGACGGCGUGGAGGACCACAGCCCCCUAAUGUACCACAUCUCCCUGGUGGACCUGCUGGCCGCCUGUGCUGAAGGCAAGAAUGUCUACACUGAGAUCAAGUGCACGUCCCUGCUGCCUCUGGAGGACGUGGUGUCCGUGGUGACACAUGAGGACUGCAUCACCGAGGUGAAGAUGGCCUAUGUGAACUUCGUGAACCACUGCUACGUGGACACGGAGGUGGAAAUGAAGGAGAUCUACACCAGCAACCACAUCUGGACCCUCUUCGAGAGCUUCACCCUGGACAUGGCGCGGGUGUGCAACCGGCGUGAGAAGCGCCUGGCAGACCCUGCCCUGGAGAAGUAUGUGCUGACGGUUGUGCUGGACACCAUCAGUGCCUUCUUCAGCUCCCCCUUCUCUGAGAACAGCACCUCGCUGCAGACACACCAGACCAUCGUCGUGCAACUGCUGCAGUCCACCACGCGGCUGCUUGAGUGCCCGUGGCUGCAGCAGCAGCACAAGGGCUCCGUGGAGGCCUGCAUCCGAACCCUUGCCAUGGUGGCCAAGGGCCGGGCCAUCUCGCUGCCCAUGGACCUGGAUGCCCACAUCAGCGCGCUGCUCAGCAGUGGUGCCAGCUCUGCUGCAGCCGCCCAGCGCAACGCUGCCAGCUACAAGACAGCCACCCGGACCUUCCCCCGCCUCACCCCUGCCACCAACCAGUGGGACUACAAGAACAUCAUCGAGAAGCUGCAGGACAUCAUCACGGCCCUGGAGGAGCGGCUGAAGCCCCUGGUGCAGGCCGAGCUGUCCGUGCUGGUGGACGUCCUGCACUGGCCCGAGCUGCUCUUCCCGGAGGGCAGUGAGGCCUAUCAGCGCUGCGAGAGCGGGGGCUUCCUGUCCAAGCUGAUCCAGCACAGCAAGGGCCUCAUGGAGUCGGAGCAGAAGCUGUGCACCAAGGUGCUACGCACCCUGCAGCAGAUGCUGCUCAAGAGGAACAAGUAUGGUGACCGGGGCAACCAGCUGCGCAAGAUGCUGCUGCAGAACUACCUGCAGAACCGGAAGUCCAGCUCUCGUGGGGAGCUCCCAGACCCCAUGGGCACCGGCCUGGACCAAGACUGCUCAGCGAUCGGGGCCACCCAGUGCCGGCUGGACAAGGAGGGGGCCACCAAGCUGGUGUGUGACCUCAUCACUAGCACCAAGAAUGAGAAGAUCUUCCAGGAGAGCAUCGGCCUGGCCAUCCGCCUGCUGGAUGGGGGCAACACUGAGAUCCAGAAAUCCUUCUACAACUUGAUGACAAGUGACAAGAAGUCAGAACGCUUCUUCAAGGUGCUGCAUGACCGCAUGAAGCGGGCGCAGCAGGAGACCAAGUCCACGGUGGCCAUGAACAUGACCGACCUGGGUAGCCGGCCUCGGGAGGACCAUGAGCUGGCCGACCCCACCGCCAAAGGCCGCGUGACCUCCUUCUCCAUGCCUGGCUCCCCGUACUCGCUGGGCCCCAGCCUGCGCAGGGGGCAUGAGGCGAGUGAGCGCACACAGAGCAACGAGAUGGGCACAUCGGUGCUCAUCAUGCAGCCCAUCCUGCGCUUCCUGCAGCUGCUGUGUGAGAACCACAACCGCGACCUGCAGAACUUCCUGCGCUGUCAGAACAACAAGACCAACUACAACCUGGUGUGCGAGACGCUGCAGUUCCUGGACAUCAUGUGCGGCAGCACCACCGGAGGCCUGGGGCUGCUGGGGCUCUACAUCAACGAGGACAACGUGGGCCUUGUCACCCAGACCCUGGAGACCCUCACGGAGUACUGCCAGGGCCCCUGCCACGAGAACCAGACCUGCAUCGUGACGCACGAGUCCAACGGCAUAGACAUCAUCACGGCACUGAUCCUCAAUGACAUCAGCCCCCUGUGCAAGUACCGGAUGGACCUGGUGCUGCAGCUCAAGGACAACGCCUCCAAGCUGCUCCUGGCCUUGAUGGAGAGCCGGCACGACAGCGAAAAUGCAGAGCGCAUCCUCAUCAGCCUGCGGCCCCAGGAGCUGGUGGACGUCAUCAAGAAGGCCUACGUGCAGGAGGAGGAGCAUGAGAACUCGGAGGUGAGCCCGCGAGAAGUGGGCCACAACAUCUACAUCCUGGCGCUGCAGCUCUCCAGGCACAACAAACAGCUGCAGCACCUGCUGAAGCCGGUGAGGCGCAUCCAGGAGGAGGAGGCCGAGGGCAUCUCUUCCAUGCUCAGCCUCAACAACAAGCAGCUGUCUCAGAUGCUCAAGCCCUCGGCACCAGCGCUGGAGGAAGAAGAGGACCCGCUGGCCUACUACGAGAACCACACGUCGCAGAUCGAGAUCGUGCGGCAGGACCGCAGGAUGGAGCAGAUCGUGUUCCCGGUGCCCGCCAUCUGCCAGUUCCUGACGGAGGAGACCAAGCACCGGCUCUUCACCACCACGGAGCAGGACGAGCAGGGCAGCAAAGUGAGCGACUUCUUCGACCAGUCCUCCUUCCUGCACAACGAGAUGGAGUGGCAGCGCAAGCUCCGCAGCAUGCCGCUGAUCUACUGGUUUUCCCGCCGCAUGACCCUGUGGGGCAGCAUCUCCUUCAACCUGGCGGUGUUCAUCAACAUCAUCAUCGCCUUCUUCUACCCUUACGUGGAAGGCGCAUCCACAGGCGUGCUGGGCUCCCCGCUCAUCUCGCUGCUUUUCUGGAUCCUCAUCUGCUUCUCCAUCACCGCCCUGUUCACCAAGCACUACAGCAUCCGACCCCUCAUUGUGGCACUCAUCCUGCGCUCCAUCUACUACCUGGGCAUCGGGCCCACGCUCAACAUCCUGGGCACCCUCAACCUGACCAACAAGAUCGUGUUCGUGGUGAGCUUUGUGGGCAACCGCGGCACCUUCAUCCGGGGCUACAAGGCCAUGGUCAUGGACGUGGAGUUCCUGUACCACGUGGGCUACAUCCUGACGAGCGUCCUGGGCCUCUUUGCCCAUGAGCUCUUCUACAGCAUCCUGCUCUUCGACCUCGUCUACCGUGAGGAGACGCUGUUCAAUGUCAUCAAGAGUGUGACCCGCAACGGCCGCUCCAUCCUGCUGACCGCCCUGCUGGCCCUCAUCCUCGUCUACCUCUUCUCCAUCGUGGGCUUCCUCUUCCUCAAGGACGACUUCAUCCUCCAGGUGGACCGGCUGCCGGGCAACCACUCCCGAGCCAGUCCCCCAGGGGCGCCAGAGGGAGCUGCUACAUUUGUAGACACGUGCAGCGGGGACAAAAUGGACUGUGUGACGGAGGUCACGGUGCCCAAGGUCCUGGAAGAGGACGAGGAGCCCGACAGCACGGAGCGGGCCUGUGACACUCUGCUCAUGUGCAUCGUCACCGUCAUGAACCACGGGCUUCGCAAUGGUGGCGGCGUGGGCGACAUUCUCCGCAGGCCCUCCAAAGACGAGUCCCUGUUCCCGGCCCGAGUAGUGUACGACCUGCUCUUCUACUUCAUUGUCAUCAUCAUCGUGCUGAACCUCAUCUUCGGGGUGAUCAUCGACACCUUCGCUGACCUACGCAGCGAGAAGCAGAAGAAGGAGGAGAUUCUCAAGACCACGUGCUUCAUCUGUGGUCUGGAGAGGGACAAGUUUGACAACAAGACGGUGUCCUUCGAGGAGCACAUCAAGCUGGAGCACAACAUGUGGAGCUACCUGCACUUCAUCGUGCUGGUGCGUGUGAAAAACAAGACAGACUACACGGGCCCCGAGAGCUACGUGGCGCAGAUGAUCAAGGUGCGAGGGGCCUCUGGCCGUGGUUUCCUGUCCCCUGCGUGCUGGAGGAGUGGCCACAUCUGUCCACACAGUCCUGCAAGGCCGAAAGGUGGACAGCUGUGGACACCUGUUGGAAAGUCAGCUGGGGAACAAGAACCUGGACUGGUUCCCGCGGAUGCGGGCCAUGUCCCUGGUGAGCAGCGAGGGUGAGGGCGAGCAGAACGAGAUCCGGAUCCUCCAGGACAAGCUCAGCUCCACCAUGAAGCUGGUGUCCCAUCUCACCACCCAGCUCAACGAGCUCAAGGAGCAGAUGACAGAGCAGCGCAAACGCAGGCAACGCCUGGGCUUCGUGGACGUCCAGAACUGCAUGAGCCGCUGAGGAGAGCCUGAGAAGGCCCGCAGGGGCCGUGUCACUGGAGGCUGGCUGGGAACAGGGCUCUCCCUCUGGUCAGGCAGCUGGGCUGCCCGCCAGGCCCUCACAACGAGGUGCCCACCUCCCACUGUGCCAGUCCCCUCACCCCCAGCCAAGGCUGCCACCAGCCAGGAGGGAGCCUUAGCACUGACAGCCUUAGAGACAGGGAAAUUCCUGGGACUCAGUUUACCUAAAGCCUUCAGAGCAAUAACUGACACUGCUUCGUAGUCCGAGUGGGUGGUUAGGAGUAGGCCGCUCUCUAAGCACUACAUUUUGGUUGCUGCCCACCGCUGGAGGAGGUGGCAGUAUGCUGACUAGAUUUUAGGGCCUUCUUAUUUAACUUAUUCUGAGGGGCGUGCCCGGCUCCCUGCCUGGGUCUGCUGUGGACUGUGUGCAGAUGCCCUGCCCUCUCUUGUGACCUCUCCCCGGCUCCUGGGGAUGGGCUGAGCCCCGAGUGGCCGCUUUUGACUCCUGGUUUUUCUUUUGGUGUAAUGUUUUACAGCCCUUUGUCCCCAGAACUAAUAUGUUAAUUGCCUUAAAUAAAUUACUAGAAAUCUA
Molecule: RNA transcript, 8759 nt
Organism: Heterocephalus glaber (naked mole-rat)
Lineage: Eukaryota; Metazoa; Chordata; Mammalia; Rodentia; Bathyergidae
Gene: Itpr3
Gene name: inositol 1,4,5-trisphosphate receptor type 3
Source: RefSeq, a predicted model, not a curated record